RNAcentral lists this ribosomal RNA (268 nucleotides) under uncultured bacterium. RNAcentral describes it as "partial 16S ribosomal RNA". It matches the Rfam family "Bacterial small subunit ribosomal RNA", at positions 28 to 294 of the family's 1533-position model. The record is from RNAcentral.
GAUGAACGCUAGCGGCAGGCCUAAUACAUGCAAGCUGAACGGCAAGAUUUGUAGCAAUACGAGUCCUAGAGUAGCGUAAGGGUGCGUAACACGUAUGCAAUCUGCCCGCAACAGGAGGAUAGCUUAGCGAAAGUUGAGAUAAGACUCCAUAAGAUCACGAGAGGGCAUCUGAUUGUGAUUAAACUACAAGGGGUUGCGGAUGAGCANGCGUCUGAUUAGUUAGUUGGCGGGGUAACGGCCACCAAGACGAUGAUCAGUAGGGGAACGU